Molecule: non-coding RNA, 1283 nt
Organism: Microcebus murinus (gray mouse lemur)
Lineage: Eukaryota; Metazoa; Chordata; Mammalia; Primates; Cheirogaleidae
Source: RefSeq, a predicted model, not a curated record
UCCGUCUGGCGUCAGCCAUCAGGUAAGCCAAGAUGGGUGCAUACAAGUAUAUCCAGGAGCUGUGGAGGAAGAAGCAGUCUGAUGGAAUGCGCGUUCUUCUGAGGGUCCGCUGCUGGCAAUACCCGCAGCUCUCUGCGCUCCACAGGGCUCCCCGCCCCACCCGACAGGAUAAAGCACGCAGACUGGGAUACAAGGCCAAGCAAGGUUAUGUCAUAUAUAGGAUUCGUGUGCGCCGUGGUGGCCGCAAACGCCCAGUUCCUAAGGGUGCAACUUAUGGCAAGCCUGUCCAUCAUGGUGUUAACCAGCUAAAGUUUGCUUGAAGCCUUCAAUCUGUUGCCGAGGGGCGAGCUGGACGCCACUGUGGGGCUCUAAGAGUCCUGAAAUCUUACUGGGUUGGUGAAGAUUCCACGUACAAAUUUUUUGAGGUUAUCCUCAUUGAUCCAUUCCAUAAAGCUAUCAGAAGAAAUCCCGAUACCCAGUGGAUCACGAAACCGGUCCACAAGCACAGGGAGAUGCGUGGGCUGACAUCUGCAGGCCGCAAGAGCCGUGGCCUUGGAAAGGGCCACAAGUUCCACCACACUAUUGGUGGUUCUCGCCGUGCAGCUUGGAGAAGGCGCAAUACUCUCCAGCUUCACCGUUACUGCUAAUAAGUAAUGUUUGUAAAAUUCAUACCUAAUAAACAAUUUAGGAUGGUCAUGUCUGCUUAAAGGUGUUAUUUGUCUGUUAAACUAGUCUGCAGAUUGUUUCAUGAAUGCUUUGUCAAAUAUGAAGUUAAAAGUGCAAUAAUGUUUGAAGACUAUAAGUGAUGGUGUAUCUUGUCUCUAAUAAGAUAAGCUUUUUUUGUCUUUGCUUUAUCUUAUUAGAGAGUUUUAUGUGGGUGUUUAAAACAUGCUGUGUGGUAUAAUAGGUGUAAAAUAAAUUCUUUAAAAGAGGAGUGCUACAACUACCCUGUAGAUUUGUUUGGUGCAUGUGGUGAAACCUACAGCUUUACUGGGAUGAUGGCAAUGCUCUGCUGGCUUUUUAAUUGGGUUUUGUUUAGAAAUUUUUAGGGUAGGAGGAGGAUAUCCUAACCCUAUGUUGUGGUCACAUAGAAAAAUAUGAGCUCGUGUAGAGCCCACGUCUUCAGAUUUAGUCCAGUGUUCCAUUUGUUUCUGAAAGAAAAGUUUAAAAUGCCACCAUAUUUUGGAACUGGAUAUACUUGUUGCAAGAGGCUUAUCUUACGAAUGAAACCUCUGGGUUAACCUAAAAAUUGCCUCAGUCUUCAUUGUACCAUUUUAAAUUAA